RNAcentral lists this ribosomal RNA (494 nucleotides) under uncultured bacterium. RNAcentral's name for it is "partial 16S ribosomal RNA". It matches the Rfam family "Bacterial small subunit ribosomal RNA", at positions 28 to 507 of the family's 1533-position model. The record is from RNAcentral.
GACGAACGCUGGCGGCGUGCUUAACACAUGCAAGUCGAACGGUGAAGCGCCUUCCUUUUUGGUGGGUGUGGAUGAGUGGCGAACGGGUGAGUAACACGUGAGUAACCUGCCCCCUUCUUCUGGAUAACCGCAUGAAAGUGUGGCUAAUACGGGAUAUUCUGGGUCUGUCGCAUGAUGGGUCUGGGAAAGAUAUUGUUUCGGUGGGGGAUGGGCUCGCGGCCUAUCAGCUUGUUGGUGGGGUGAUGGCCUACCAAGGCGGUGACGGGUAGCCGGCCUGAGAGGGUGGACGAUCACACUGGGACUGAGACACGGCCCAGACUCCUACGGGAGGCAGCAGUGGGGAAUAGGGCACAAUGGGCGCAAGCCUGAUGCAGCGACGCCGCGUGAGGGAUGGAGGCCUUCGGGUUGUGAACCUCUUUCGCCAGUGAAGCAGGCCUGCCUCGUUUGUGGGUGGGUUGACGGUAGCUGGAGAAGAAGCGCCGGCUAACUACGUG